ACUGAACGCUGGCGGCAGGCUUAACACAUGCAAGUCGAGCGGGGUGAUGGUGCUUGCACUAUCACUUAGCGGCGGACGGGUGAGUAAUGCUUAGGAAUCUGCCUAUUAGUGGGGGACAACAUCUCGAAAGGGAUGCUAAUACCGCAUACGUCCUACGGGAGAAAGCAGGGGAUCACUUGUGAUCUUGCGCUAAUAGAUGAGCCUAAGUCGGAUUAGCUGGUUGGUGGGGUAAAGUCCUACCAAGGCGACGAUCUGUAGCGGGUCUGAGAGGAUGAUCCGCCACACUGGGACUGAGACACGGCCCAGACUCCUACGGGAGGCAGCAGUGGGGAAUAUUGGACAAUGGGGGGAACCCUGAUCCAGCCAUGCCGCGUGUGUGAAGAAGGCCUUAUGGUUGUAAAGCACUUUAAGCGAGGAGGAGGCUCUUUUGGUUAAUACCCAAGAUGAGUGGACGUUACUCGCAGAAUAAGCACCGGCUAACUCUGUGCCAGCCGCCGCAGUAA
Molecule: ribosomal RNA, 503 nt
Filed under: uncultured bacterium
Lineage: Bacteria
Description: partial 16S ribosomal RNA
Rfam family: Bacterial small subunit ribosomal RNA
Source: RNAcentral